UACGGAGGGUGCGAGCGUUGUCCGGAAUCAUUGGGCGUAAAGGGCGCGUAGGCGGAACGUUAAGUCCGAUCUGAAAGCCCCCGGCUCAACCGGGGAGGGUGGUUGGAAACUGGCGUUCUUGAGGACGAGAGAGGGGAGUGGAAUUCCUGGUGUAGGCGGUGAAAUGCGUAGAUAUCAGGAGGAACACCCAUGGCGAAGGCAGCUCCCUGGCUC
Molecule: ribosomal RNA, 213 nt
Filed under: uncultured bacterium
Lineage: Bacteria
Description: partial 16S ribosomal RNA
Rfam family: Bacterial small subunit ribosomal RNA
Source: RNAcentral